This 498-nucleotide ribosomal RNA is filed under the name uncultured bacterium. RNAcentral describes it as "bacterial SSU rRNA". It matches the Rfam family "Bacterial small subunit ribosomal RNA", at positions 28 to 507 of the family's 1533-position model. The record is from RNAcentral.
GAUGAACGCUAGCUACAGGCUUAACACAUGCAAGUCGAGGGGAAACGACAUUGGAAGCUUGCUUCCGAUGGGCGUCGACCGGCGCACGGGUGAGUAACGCGUAUCCAACCUGCCCACCACUUGGAGAUAACCUUGCGAAAGUAAGACUAAUACCCAAUGACGUCUCUAGAAGACAUCUGAAAGAGAUUAAAGAUUUAUCGGUGAUGGAUGGGGAUGCGUCUGAUUAGCUUGUUGGCGGGGUAACGGCCCACCAAGGCGACGAUCAGUAGGGGUUCUGAGAGGAAGGUCCCCCCACAUUGGAACUGAGACACGGUCCAAAACUCCUACGGGAGGCAGCAGUGAGGAAUAUUGGGUCAAAUGGGGCGAGAGCCCUGAACCAGCCAAGUAGCGUGCAGGAUGACGGCCCUAUGGGUUGUAAACUGCUUUUUCGCGGGGAUAAAGGGGGGGAUGCGUCCCCCGUUGCAGGUACCGCGUGAAUAAGGACCGGCUAAUUCCGUG